GGGUUUGUGGCUCAGUGGUAGAGCGCUUGCCUUACAAGUGUGAGACCCUGGGUUCUAUCCUUAGCACCA
Molecule: non-coding RNA, 69 nt
Organism: Ictidomys tridecemlineatus (thirteen-lined ground squirrel)
Lineage: Eukaryota; Metazoa; Chordata; Mammalia; Rodentia; Sciuridae
Source: Rfam